AUGGGUGGCAGGGCAGAGGCAGGGCUGGGAGCCCCCUGCUGGCCUGUCUGGGCAGGACGCCGCAUCUGCGGGGACUUCAUGCAUGUGGCAGUGCCCUGGGAGCAGCGGGCAGCCACGUCCCAGGUUCACAGCCCAGGCUCCAGCCUGGCAUCAAAGGCAGCGCCACGGCCAAGUGGGCUUGGCACUGUGGAGAGCAGUUUCCUGGACAAGGCCAGGCCCCUGGCGCUGCCCAGGGACAAAGGGCAGAGAGGAGGCCGCGGGCUGGAGGCUGAGCCACUCUGCCCUCCUCUCCCACCUUUCCUGGGGCCUGGCCACCCGAAGUGGAUCAGCGCUGCUGUCCUGCAGAAGGUGCUGUGCUGGCUGGGGUCCUCUGAACCUGCAAUUUCCUGGGAUGUCACCCGUGGUGCCUCCUCCGUGAGCCGUAAGUUGGGAUGGCAUCCCAUCAACAUUUCUGUCUGCCUCACCAUCCCUUGGGAUGCAGGUGGCUCUCUGGGGUGUGCCCAGGGGUGGGUAUCAGGUGACCUCCAUGACGGGCGUGGGCUCCCUUGUCCUCCACUCAGAGGGGCUUAGCCAGCUCCUGCCUGCUCCCCUGCCUUCCUGGCUGUGUCUGGUGGCAGUCGCAUGCACCCGUCCACUGUGCCCCUGCCUCCCUCGCCCUGUCCUUCUUCCUCCCUUGCUGCCCCUUACCUGUCCCGGUCGCUGACGUCUCUGUCUGUGGGACACGGACCCAGUGCCGUGAGUCCUGUCAGAACAGGCACUGUGUGCUUUUCGGGGAUGGACAGACGUUGCACCUGUCUCCCCCAACCAAGGACUUCCUGUUGGGGCAGUGGUGGGGGCCGGGAUGGCGCCCCUUCCUGCUGGGUCCCAGCACCAUGGGACAUAGGUGCUCCUUGCAGGGUGCUCUGCCAGUUUCCCUCAGGCCUCUCUCGGCACUUUGAUAUUUGAGUCAUUCCGUUUGGAGGCCAUGACUUCUGAUUCUCGCCGAUUUCCUCUUUCCAGUUACUGAGGGUCCAGGCCUUCCAGGAGCCUCGUGAGUGCAUUUGAGCCCUCGCCACCUCUGGUUCUUCCCGUGUCGAGGAGGGGUUCCUCUUACGGCAGCUCUGCACGGCCUUGGGUAGUCACGGUGCAAAGUCACAGGGAAACCGAGGCACAGAGUGGCCAGGCCCUUCCCUCCCUCAUGCCGGUGCACAGGGACUGAGCUCUGUGGCUGGCUGGUGCACCUGCCAGAGAUGGGCUUGUGGCGGCUGCCUCUGAGGCCCGAUGGUUUGUGGAUGAUUUCAGGGUCUGGGAGGGAAGCAGCUGCCGUGGCCACUCAGGGUAGGCAAAGCCAGAGCUGUGGCAUGAAGAGCCAGGGCACAGCCCGGAUCAAGGCCUUGGAGCAGAGAAAGCCAGGUGCCACCAUGUGACAGGUAGGGGCGGAGGCAGGUGGACCGCUUUGCACCACUGCCCUGGGAGAUUGGGCCCUGUCUACCGAAGUCCACGGAGAAGACUGGUGUCUCCUGCCCUUUCACAGACACAGAAGCUGGGGCACAGGGUGGGAAGCCAGGGCCCUGGCCGUCACCCCAGACGCCUGUCCCAGCGAGGAAGGUGGGAGCUGGCGGGCAGCAGGCUGGCUGCGGAGGGUGGACCUGGCAGGUCUGCUCCCAGAGCCACUGCUUCUUGUUCUGGAAAACAGCCUACUCUCUCGGAAGGAAGUAGCAUGACCCCUGCUGGGGUGUGGUUGCUGCCACUCUCGAGCACCCCAGGACCUGUCCCCCAACUCUCAGGCUGGGACCAUCAGGCUGGGCAGGUGGGGUGCCAGUGAGGGUGGAGGGGCCCGCGAGGCCCAGCAGGCAGGAAGGCAGGUGCCCUGAACAGGCGAUUCUGGUGUCAGUGAGACCCCAGAGGCCGCCAGGGUGGCCCAGCCCAGCGUCCCCAAAGCCCAGGGACAAUCACGUCCCACUCACCUGGGGUCAUUGCAGGGGUGACACGGAGAGGUUGCCCUCUACCACUUUCCUUCUAUGGGGUGGACGCCAUUCUGGGGUUCAGGUCUGUGGUGUGAGGCCCAGCUGAUGGCCCUGGCAAUGUCAGCUCCUCCUCUGGCCACCAGGAAAGGAGAUUCUGAAGUGGGCCACAGACUGCCUUGAGGAUGAGCCGCUAGGAGGAGGGUGUGGCAUCUGGGCAGGGACGGCCGCCUUAUGAGUGCAGAGGUGUGGGUGGGGGCCUCUCCUGGGGUGGCAGGGAACUCUCAGGCACAGAGCCGGCUGGAUGCUGGUUUAGCCUCACCAGAGCCCAAGGUGGCAGAGGGGCUGGUGCAGUCUCUGGCCUGGCCAGGAGAGGGCACGCAUGGCCUGCUUCUCCUCCUGGACCUUGCUGCUCCUUUCUCCUCCUGGAGCUGACUGAGCGCACAGGACUCUUGAGGGACUGGGUUUUGUUUCUCACAGAUCUGGAGGCCUGGAAGAACCAGACUGUGCCUGGCACCCAUCAAGGGCCUGGAUGAGGAGCACUGCAGGACGAGGGUCGGGAGGGCUGGGUUCUCCAUGGCAGCAGAGGAGGGGAGGAGCCGUCGCUCUCUCCCCAGACAGCAGCCUGGGCCCUCAUCCUCCAGGACAGUGCCGUCCCAGACCCUGCCCUGCCAAGAGGACGUAGCUGGCACUGCCGGCCACCUCCUGGUGUGCCUGCUCCUGCUCCUGUCCCCAUCCUCUUCCGCCUCCUGCUGUUCUUUAUAAGGACCCCCCCAGCUCCCUGGGGACAGAACAUGUGUGGCUCUGUUCGGGUGACAGCUGUUUCCAUGCUGAGAAGCAUCUUGCUCCUGUCGCUUAUCCUCCACGUUGGACAUCCCUGCUUUGGCCCAUUUCUCAGCCUUGUCACUGGCAGGUGGCAGCCAGGAUGGAGCCACCUGGGUCAGGACGCUGGGACCAGUUCUCUGGGCAGGUGUUGGCCACGGGGAAGGUCCCAGGACCACAGUGCUGUCUGCCAGCACAGUGGCCCUGUGAAUGAAGAGGGAGCAGAGAGAUCUGAGACAGGCAGCUUCUGGAGGAGCUGGUCCUGGGCAGGGACGUCGGACUGCCUCGCCCUCUCCUUGUGAGCACGCCUCCUGUCCCUGCCAGGGAGUUACAGGCUGCAGACCUGUGUGCACCAGACGGAGGACAGGGACUACACGACCCCACGCUGCAAGCUGCAGGGACUGUUUCAGGUAGUUCUGUCAGAGAUGCCUCUCCUGCUUAGGGUGUGAGAGGCUACCUGUCCCCACAGCCAGGCCUGGAUGGGGCCAGCAAGCGCCCUGCACCCACGCUGGGUGGGGAGUCUGCGCCUCCCUGGCUGCGGGCUGCGUCCCAGCUGGGCUCCUGAUGCUGCCUCAGGGCCUCAAGCAGCUGUGUCCUCCGGGCUGGCUGAGUUCCAUGGAAGCUCAUUUGUGGAGUUUAAAUUUCAUACUAAAAAUAAAUAAAUAAAUUCCAUACUGUUCGCGCACCAUAGAAUAGUGCCCUGAUUUUCCCAGAGGUUUAAGGGUGUGAGCAGCCGUGAGGGCAGCUGUGGGGCACAGGCGCCUCUGGCAGCAGAGUGUGGGUCAUGUGGAAUUAACUCACAACCGCCAGGCCCAGCUCCGGGAAGAGUCAAAGACCCCAAGCUUCUUGCGCAGCCGCUCGGUGUGACCCCUGCUGUCCUCUGUGAGGUCUCAGGAGCCCCUGACACCACUGGGCCAAGCCUGAUGCUCCGUGUCUGGCAGUUUCUGAGGUAUAGGAGGGUGGUCAUGCGCUCAGCACAGGUCCAGCUCUUUCCCUGCCAGUCUCUCUCUCUCUCUCUCUCUCUCUUCCCCCAGUCCCUCUCCCUCUCCCUCUCCCCUGCCCUCUCUCUCUCUCUCUCACUUUUUUGAGACAGGGUCUCCCUGUGUAGCCCAGGCUGGCCUUGAACUUGGAGUGACCCUCGGGCCUCAGCCGUCCAGAUGCUGGGUUUACAGGAGUGAGCCACUGCGCCUGGCUUUUGUUUUCUCUUUAGCUGACCCUGGAGAAGGUGGUCCUCUGUUCUCAGGCUGUGACCCCCAAACUGCGUGUUUCCUGCCUAGGGUGGCGGCCAGGCCUGCUGUGGAGGGAGAGUGGAGCCUCACCCCUCUGCAGCCCCCAAGCUCCUGUACUGCCCUGCACCCCUGCUGCCUGCAGGCCUCCACCUGGGACCCAGAGCCUUUGCCUUCCCUUCCCUCGCUCCCGCAGUCCCUCCACUUGGUGGUUCAUUUACUGCUCAAUCUGUGAUUAAUUAAAACAAUUUAAAUCACUCCACUGCUGCUAAAUUAUUUCAGAGCCUCCUCUGAGCGCACAUGGCUGCACUUGGGCUUGUCAGCCACCAGGGGGAGCCAUGGCCCGAUGAGCAGAGUACCUGUGCUGCGUGGCCUCUUGAUGCUGCUAGAAAUCCCAGAUGAUCCAGAAUAGGAGAUGCCAGGGCGGCCCAUUCCCCAAGUCAGAUCCCGCA
Molecule: long non-coding RNA, 4443 nt
Filed under: Fukomys damarensis (Damara mole-rat)
Lineage: Eukaryota; Metazoa; Chordata; Mammalia; Rodentia; Bathyergidae
Description: lncRNA (ENSFDAG00000030730.1)
Source: RNAcentral